RNAcentral lists this ribosomal RNA (175 nucleotides) under Oscheius sp. I12. RNAcentral's name for it is "partial 18S ribosomal RNA". It matches the Rfam family "Eukaryotic small subunit ribosomal RNA", at positions 1656 to 1831 of the family's 1831-position model. Lineage: Eukaryota; Metazoa; Nematoda; Chromadorea; Rhabditida; Rhabditidae. The record is from RNAcentral.
CCCUUUGUACACACCGCCGUCGCUGUCCGGGACUGAGCUGUUUCGAGAAGAGUGAGGACUGACGCAAAGGGGGCUUCGGCCUCUUCUGCGAUGGGAAUCACUUUAAUCGCAAUGGCUUGAACCGGGCAAAAGUCGUAACAAGGUACCUGUAGGUGAACCUGCAGGUGGAUCAUCG